AGCACGAAAGAUGGAGGAGGCUAACGAAGAAAGACGGGGCACUGAAAAGCACAGAGAUGGCCUGAGCAGUCGUGGAAGGGGGCUGUGGAAAGCCAAGGGUGGGGAGUAGGAAGGCCGUGUGGAGGGGACUGCCAUGAGCUAAAUUUGGAAAGGUCAGGCGAGAAGGGCUGGGCAUUGUGCUUUUCCUGGAGAUUGCCACAGAACAUUCUCAGGCAGAGGGAGACGGUCCUGCUUUCCAGAGACUAUUUUAGAGGGACUGGAAGGGAAGGGGGUGGGGAGACCCAUUAGCAAGCUCUCAGUCCAGGCAGGAGAUGAGGGCCUGGAUUAGGGUGGGAGGCUGUGAGAGUGGGGAGGAGGGAGAGGUUGGGGAGAUGUGGGGGUGGAAGGGAUCAUUUGGAUCUGGGGAUGGAGGAUGAGAAAGAAGGAAAAGUCCACAACGAUUCUGAGCUCCUGAAUUUGAGAGACUGGAACGGCCGUGGGGCCCUCCCAAGAAAUGUGGGAGUUUGGAGGACGGUGGGAUUUGGUUGGAGGGGACAAGGAGGUGGGAUGUUCUAAUGUUGGGCAUGUUGUCUGAGACAUCUAAGGGACAGUCGGAUGGAAAUACCCAAUAGGCAGCUGGUGAUACAGGAUUGAGCCUCAGGAGAAAGAUGAAGGCUGGAGAUGUAGAAUAAGAGUCAUCUAUAUAUAGAUCACUGAGAGACAGAUUCUUUUCCGUUCCCCUUUUCCCUUCCUCCUUUCCCUUUUCUUCUCCUUUCCUCCUUUUCCUUCCCUUUUUCCUUUCCCUUUCUUUCACUUCCCUUCUCUUCCUUUCCCCUUCCUCCUUUCCUUUUCCUUCUCUCCCCUUCUUUUUCCUCUUCCUUCCCUUUCUUCCUCCUUUUUCUUUCCCUUCUCUUCCCUUCCUUUACCUUUCCUCCCUUUUUCUUCUCUUCCCUUACUUUCCUUUUUAUUUUCCCUUCCCUUUCCCUUUUGAGCACAGUAGAAUAGUUUAGAGGGACAAGUGAAGAGACCAGAAGGCAGAAGUUCAGUUGGCAGGCUGUGGGAAAUUCAGUGGAUUCCCAUCUCUGGAGGAUUGUCCCCUGAGGAGGCUUUAUGUCCUUAGGCCACAAGGUUCACUCCUGGCUGCAGAUGCUGCUGCUGUUUCUUGGAGGUCCUGAGUGGGGUCUGUCUGCUGCUGCUGGUGACCGUCCUCAUCACCCUACUCAGGUAUUUCCUAGAGUUUCCUGCCAUCAUGGAAGGAUUUAGCUUUCUCCAAAGUGCCAACGGCACCUCUGUCCCUAGGGACUCCUGAGCCUAGAAGGGGACAGCAGGCAGCUGUCUCUGGAGCUGGACCAGCAGCCCCUUCCCCGCCGCAGACAGCAGGCUCACAGGAGAGCCAGAUCCUGUCCCCAACAGCGACCUCGGUGCCUCCGCGGUCCCUGGACUUUUGCCAUUCACACAUGCUAUCCAUCAAGCCAGAGCUGUGGGGCAAGGAUACGCUGAGUUUGACGGCCUGUGUGAUGGCCUGGCCGUGGGGCCCAGACUCUGCUUCUUACUGGAUGACCCUGAUGAAGCAAUUUUGUUUCUGAGCCUUGGUUUCCUACUCUGUGGAAUAAGGGAAGAGGGCUCGAUGGAUCAGACCACGCUGUGAUUUUCUGCUAUCAGGCACGGGCCAUGAGGGCUAAGCUAAGCAGGCCUAGGAGAGUGAAAAUCAGAGGCCUUCCUGAGGGACUGGGCAGCCACAAACAUUAAGGGCCUACUAUGUGCCAGGGAUUGUACCAAGGUCUACCUUUGGGCUUUAGGAAUAACGCUCCAACCAUCCUACAAUCCGGCUUGGACUCUAAUGAUACAGGGAACUUAGAAACCCAGGAAUUGGGUCCUCGAUGCCCUGGAGAUUCAAGGGCCAAGGGAACCGUCAAAGCAGAGCAGUGGUCACCAGCCAGGUGUCCGGGCUCUGUGCUGGCCCCAGUGCCAGGGAGACGCUUGUGUUUCCCAAGUGGAUGUCAGGGUCCCCUAAAGUCCUUCUGGCCUAGAGGGAGGGGGAGGAAGCUGGGGUCUUCUGGGACUGUACCCCAAGCUCCUGCAUCUCCCUUCCAAGCCUUGGCCACGGUCUGGCAUCCUCGCUCCUGUGUCCAUGACGCUCGCCACCACCACAACGUCCCAAGCCUGUUCCCCACCACUUUGACCCACCCUUCCAUCUUUUUUCUUUUCCCCCCAUCAGAGGCUCCUGAGCCCUGCCUGACUGGUGCCUCCUGGCAAUUCCUUGCAGAUCUGAAAUAGUGGAAGGGAAAAGAACUGGGGGGAAUCACUUCUCCUUACUCUAGAACCUGUUCUGUAAGCCACAGGUUCUACAGUCCUGCUCUCAGGGAGCCCCUGGUUUGAGGGGGGCCUUUAGGGAGACAGUGCCUGGCACUUUAUUAAUAAAGGACACACGUUGCUGGCUCCUGUCUUGAUAGGAGGAAGGCCCAAAGGCCAGUCUCCAGAUGAUGCCAAAGCCAGAAACAAUCUAGCAAUAGUCUCCCGCCACAAGUCACUGAACACAUUUUGGAACUAACCCUUAGCCCUAGAGCCAGAUGGGAGCAGCCCUCCAUUGUCGAGGGCAUUCAUGGCCGUCUUGCCCAUUUGCUCAAGCGCUUUCAGACUGGUAUGAUUAAGAGCAGGUUGUUUUCUUCUCCACCAGGCUGGAGUGUGACGCACUCUGCUAGACACCAGGGUUGGCUGAGCAGAACCUCUUCCUACGUUUAACAAUUGGGUUGGUCCAGGUGGUCAACUUCCUCAAACUGGGCUGACCAAGCAUCGGCCACAAAGGCAAACACGUCAGGACGUUCAGAACUUAAAGGUAGCAGACUUCCAAAAAUGGAAGAAAAGGGAUCAUUCUCCCUCCUCCCAUUUUCUGUGAAUCUGCUUUCCCAAAAAAAUCAACAGCAGAGAUGAGAUCAGACACUUCAGUUCUCAAGUGAUUCUGAAGCAAUAGGAAGCGUUGGGACGACUGGGAAGGGAGAUGGAGGGAAAACAUUAGUCAUGUGAUCAAGGUCAUUCCUACCUGAACGGUUUUUGAAAACUCCCCUUGGUCAAUUGAAGACAAAAAUGGUAAACAAGGGGUGGUCUGUGGGAAACAGGGAUACCCAUGCGCUGUUGGGAGAGCUAUGUGAGCUGGCCCGUUUUGGAAAAUUUGAAAUUAUACUAGACUUAUACUUCCAGGUAGCCAAAGACAGAGGUGAUAGCUUGACACGGUGCCUGGCACAUAGUGGGCACACAGAAAUAUAUCAGCAUCUAUUUCCCUUCUCUCAUUCAGUGAGCCCUGGCAAAGGAGAGGAAAAGGAAGUAAGGUUGAUUGCCCAAAGGCAGAGUAAAAUUGGUGUACAAAUGUGAUAGAAUAUUGCGUCAGAAUUAAUCUGAGAAAUCUGGAGAGGUUUGGUUAGAUUUUCAAGCAAGCAAAACCAGGAGAAUGAUGUCACGUCCACAGUAAUGUCAAGAAAACCAAUGCUGAAAAGCUUCAAAACUGGGAUCUAAGUCAGGGACUGGUGCUGGCUGGGAAAGCGUCCCUCAGUAGAGAGAAGGAACAGACAUUUCACAAGGGGCCAAAGGGUUGAGUUGCUUCAUUCUAAUUAUUUGUUACAAGGGAAGGUUCUCCUGGGGGCAAAUGGGCACAUGAUGUGGUUUAAAAAGCAUCAAUACAAUAAAGGAGAAAAAGUUUCA
This is a long non-coding RNA of Antechinus flavipes (yellow-footed antechinus), 3675 nucleotides long. RefSeq lists it as uncharacterized. The transcript is spliced from 2 exons. The record is from RefSeq and is a predicted model, not a curated record. NCBI's taxonomy places the organism in Eukaryota, Metazoa, Chordata, Mammalia, Dasyuromorphia, Dasyuridae.